GACGAACGCUGGAGGCGUGCUUAACACAUGCAAGUCGAACGGUAAGGCCCUUCGGGGUACACGAGUGGCGAACGGGUGAGUAACACGUGGGUGAUCUGCCCUGCACUUCGGGAUAAGCCUGGGAAACUGGGUCUAAUACCGGAUAGGACCACUGCCUGCAUGGGGGGUGGUGGAAAGCUUUUGCGGUGUGGGAUGGGCCCGCGGCCUAUCAGCUUGUUGGUGGGGUGAUGGCCUACCAAGGCGACGACGGGUAGCCGGCCUGAGAGGGUGACCGGCCACACUGGGGCUGAGAUACGGACCAGAGUCCUACGGGAGGCAGCAGUGGGGAAUAUUGCACAAUGGGCGCAAGCCUGAUGCAGCGACGCCGCGUGAGGGAUGACGGCCUUCGGGUUGUAAACCUCUUUCAGCACCGACGAAGCGCAAGUGACGGUAGGUGCAGAAGAAGGACCGGCCAACUACGUGCCAGCCGCCGCGGUAA
This 478-nucleotide ribosomal RNA is filed under the name uncultured bacterium. RNAcentral describes it as "partial 16S ribosomal RNA". It matches the Rfam family "Bacterial small subunit ribosomal RNA", at positions 28 to 523 of the family's 1533-position model. The record is from RNAcentral.